GCAACCCUCCCACCUCAGCCUCCCAAAGGGCAGGGACUACAGCUUUGUGAUUUUGGCACAUUUUUUCCCAUUUCUUUUGGUGAGAAAAAUGAAGCUCAGAGAGAUUAAGUGACCUGUGCAAGAUUGCCUAGCCAGUAAGGGUGGAUUCUACGCUGCUCAUGGUAAAUCUGGACUCUUCUCUGUGACAGUCUGCCAAACACCUGGUUAUGCAUCCUUCCUUGUCAUUCCUGAAGUGAAAAAUGAAGGCAAGAAAUGCUCCUGAAGUGAAGAAUCAGAAGACACUAAGGAUCAUGUGAAAGAGCUCCCUGAGGACAGAUUAAGAGGAGAUGAGUUAAAGCUGCAAAUACCAAGAUUUAAGAUGAAAUUAAGAAUGCUGAUCAGCUAAAGGACCUUCACAUACAAAGGUUAUCCUGGAUUAUUCAGGUGGGCUCAACGUAAUCACAAGGAUCCUUUAAAGUGGAAGAAUGAGGUCAGAGUGAUGUGAUGUGAAAAGCACUCAAUUUGCCUUUGCUAGUUUUGAAGAUGGAAGAAUGGGGCCAUGGUCCAAGGCAUGCUGGUGACCUCUAGAAGCUGAAAAAGUUAAGAAAAUGGAAAAGAAACUUCAGCGCAGUGAGGCCCAAUUUGGACUUCUGACUCCAGAACUGCAAGAUAAUACAUUUGUAUCCAUUAAGCCACUAAGUUUGUGCUAAUUUGCUAUGGCAGCAACAGGAGACUAAUACACCUUGGCAGGUAGAGGUAGUCCUCCUCUGGGGCAAACAUAUAAGCAUGCUUACUAUACAAUAUAAUAAGGAUGAUGUCUCUUUCCAGGACAUAGGCAGGCAUGCUUAUUUCCUGUUAUAAAAUAUUCAGGUUUUCUAAGUUCAGUUUUUUGUUUUUUUGUUUUUUUUUUGCUGGAACACAAUUGACUGUGGAUGCUGGUAUUAUCUAGCCCUAUUUGCAUCACCUUGCGGGUACUGGGGUUUGGAGGAAUUGGCUCAGAUGCUGAUACCGUGGCUACUACUAUUGUGGUGUCUUGGUCCAUUGUGCUGCUAUAAUAGAAUACAUGAGACUUGACAAUUUAAAAUGAACAGAUAUUUAUCGGCUCAGAGUUCUGGAGGCUGGGAAGUACAAUAUCAAGAUGCUGGCUGUUUGCGAGGGUCUUCUUGCUACAUCAUUUCAUGGCAGAAGGUGAGAGGAUGAGAGAGAGCAAGAGGGGGCUGAACUUGCCCUUUUAUAAUGGCACCAAUUCCACCCAUGACGGUGGAACUCUCCUGGCCUAAACACCUUUGAAUGGUCCCACAUCAUUAAAGCUGUUAUAAUAGCAAUUAAAUUUCAACAUGAGUUUUGGAGGAGCAAACAUUGAAACUAUAGUGUAAAGGAGACCUUACCCUUUUAUAUAAUCCUUAGUAAAACUUGUGUAAUUCAUGUGAUGGAGACUGCUAAUAUCUGGUUAUAUUGGGAAGCUUGGAUAUUUCCUAUACAUUUUAAGUAUUGGAUAAACUUAAGAAUAUUCUGUAUAGGAUACUUUCUCCUUGGAAUCUAAAUCAUUUUUCUGAUUUAGAAACUAAGGAGAAGCCUGUAGUCAUUGGCUUAAAAAUUGAUUACAAAUGAAUUUGUAGAAAUAGUACUUCCCAUCCCAACUUCACUUCUAUUUUACAUCAGUUUUCUUUUUUUUACAUAACAGAUGUGACAUUUAAAUAUUUCUCUAAUGUUAUGGCAUAAUGAACUUUGUCAAAGAGCCAUAUGGUUUAUGCAAACACAAAGAUAAUCUUGGAACAUUGACAUAUGUAAGCUUAAUUUAAAAAGUCUGUGAAAAUAGUGAAAAGCAGAUGGAGAGUUGCCAUGGAAAUUACUAACACUUAGAGGAAGAAAAAUAUUACUUUAGGGUCAUUGUGAUUUCUAAAGGAAUGGUCAGACUUGCAAAAUUGUUUUCCUACCCAAUUGUCAGUAAUAAAAACAGAUAUUGGCAGGUAAAUAUAUUUUUUAUUUAUCUAUGAUUUUAUGAUUUCACUGCAUUCUGAAUAUAUUACAGGUAUGCACAUUUUUAUUGGUAAAGACUUUUAGUAGUGGAAGAAAAUCUAACUAUUUACCACUACUUUAAAUAAGAAAUGUUCUUUUCAAUUUUUCUGAAUGAAAGUACAAGUUGUGACUUAUUAGUUUUUGUUCUCCUUAUGUAGGUUUUUAUCUUGAUAUAAGAUAAAAUUAGUAUCAGAAUGACAUAGUCUUUAAAGGAAGAUGACUAAAAUUUGCUCUUAUAGAUUAAUUGUACCAAUUGUAAAAAAUAGAGAGAAGUCUAGAUAGCUCAAUAAAAGUAAUGAAAAAACCUUUUAGGCCAGAUUCUUUAUUAGAAAUUAUAAUUGGUAGACACUGCUCUUUACCAUAGCUUAGUCAUAGAGAAAGUUUAAAAAUCUCAAUAGGAAGUCAUUUGCACUGCUCAUUUUGUACCAGCAAUUAUUUAUCACCUGAUUGGUUUAUAUAUUCAUUUCCAUGAACUUUCGAAAAGUCAGUAACUAAACUCUAAUUCUUUCUCUUUUCUUCUGAGGCAAUUUCAGUUGCUGUGGUUCUCAUGGAAUAGACUAAUCAAAAGUGGGAAGGAAUUAAAGUUGGGGCCAGGCGGUUUUGGAACAUCGACAUAACAUUUGGUAAAAUGUGAAGCUGAAUUAACGCUGUUUUUGAUGUUGAAAAUGAAAUAUCAAGAAUAAAGGGAUAAAUAUCUAUGAUUCCAACCUGUAGGAAAUCAUAAAAACUUGUUUCUUUGCAAAACACUAAAAUUAUACAAUAAGAUUCAAUGGGAAUUUAAAAUGAGGAUGCUGGGAUCAACUAAUGCAGAUGGAUUAGCAUUUAAGUUGUUUUUUUCUUUGUUCUUUCUUUCCUUUCCUUUUU
This 2862-nucleotide long non-coding RNA is filed under the name Homo sapiens (human). RNAcentral describes it as "HSALNT0367019". Lineage: Eukaryota; Metazoa; Chordata; Mammalia; Primates; Hominidae. The record is from RNAcentral.